RNAcentral lists this long non-coding RNA (391 nucleotides) under Homo sapiens (human). Its description in RNAcentral is "HSALNT0394960". Lineage: Eukaryota; Metazoa; Chordata; Mammalia; Primates; Hominidae. The record is from RNAcentral.
UAAAAUUCUCCACCAACCUUCCAACUAGUGGUUUUUGCAGCCACUGAUGAUCAUUGCUUAGAUACAUUAUUUCAUUAGGGAUUGCAAAGUUGUGAUUUUCUAAUUUAUCUUUAUUCUUGAGUUUAUGAGUAUAUACCCUCUUCUAAAAAACAAACACAUAAACAAAAGUUCUUUCCCUCACAAAUUAGAGAAUUCCCCUGAAAUAGACACCCUAUAAGAAAGGCAGGCUUGAUUCUUAACCAUUAUUAUCCAUGUUUUAGAAAUCUUGAAUGGGUUCUAGCAAACUAAAAAUGAAUCCCUGCUCCCUUUGGAAUAUCAUUUUCAAAAAUGCAGUUUUGUAUAUUUGAUGUAUUUCAGGGCGUCACAGUCAUUAUUCUUUUUGGUGUCUGAA